GGAAGAUGCAGCUGCAUCCCUAAAAUGGCUGCACUGUGGAAGACUGCAGAUCGUGCUGCUUUUCCCCAGCUGGCAUUAAAGGAUGUGUCUUUUUGGCUACUGCUCUGCUGGAGCUGAAACUUUCCCAAAACUCACAGCUAAGCAGUUCAGUGUGUGUUGCGUGGGACAGCUACAGAAUUCCAAUUACUGCAACGGUAAUAGAAGUCAAUAUCCUGAAUCCCAGGCUUGUGACCAGCCACUGAACCAGUAGCCAGAGGACAGGAGUGCUCCAAGCAGCAGUAGCGAAUGUAAACCAGUAAACCUACCCAGAGGAAAAUGGAGAAGUACACUCAAAGAUAGCGUUUGCUUAAGUCACAGUGCAAAGUCUCAGUGACACAACUCCACAUUUUUAUUUUGCACUUGAGAUUGUCUCAAAUAUUUCCAGUUGAUGGUAAAUGCUGCCUUCUGUAACAAGUUCUCCUGAAGCCUUACGUGAUCAUCAUGAUUACAAGGUAAAUCUCAUAAUCAGAGACUCUUCUAAAUGCUGAAGGAUUGCUGGGAUUCAGAAGGGUCUAUCUCACCUUACAUGUGACU
Molecule: long non-coding RNA, 573 nt
Organism: Lagopus muta (rock ptarmigan)
Lineage: Eukaryota; Metazoa; Chordata; Aves; Galliformes; Phasianidae
Exons: 3
Source: RefSeq, a predicted model, not a curated record